Molecule: ribosomal RNA, 396 nt
Filed under: bacterium enrichment culture clone ALO1_GLFRUDD03HHNOT
Lineage: Bacteria
Description: bacterial SSU rRNA
Rfam family: Bacterial small subunit ribosomal RNA
Source: RNAcentral
GAGUUUGAUCAUGGCUCAGAUUGAACGCUGGCGGCAUGCCUUACACAUGCAAGUCGAACGGCAGCACGGGAGCUUGCUCCUGGUGGCGAGUGGCGAACGGGUGAGUAAUGCAUCGGAACGUAUCCUGGAGUGGGGGAUAACGUAGCGAAAGUUACGCUAAUACCGCAUAUUCUGUGAGCAGGAAAGCGGGGGACCUUCGGGCCUCGCGCUCUUGGAGCGGCCGAUGUCGGAUUAGCUAGUUGGUGAGGUAAAGGCUCACCAAGGCGACGAUCCGUAGCAGGUCUGAGAGGAUGAUCUGCCACACUGGAACUGAGACACGGUCCAGACUCCUACGGGAGGCAGCAGUGGGAAUUUUGGACAAUGGGGCAACCCUGAUCCAGCCAUGCCGCGUGAGUG